GGGUACCAUCCGCACGCCUUUCUGGCAGCUUCCAUAGGGACCGUAGGCGGCGCUCUCCGGUUUCAAAUACUGGAUCACCAAAUCGCUCGCACAUCCUCGUUGAAUGCCUCGGAACGACGACGAAAAAGACGGCAUUGGGCGUCCAGAAGAUCAGCAAGCUAGCGGUCAGCACAGUCAGCAGUCGAUAUUUUCACGACAUACGUUACCUAAUUCGACAGAAUUAUUGACACGUGAUAACGAUGUCAUCGUGCUGACGGUUGGGAUAACGCUGCAGACGAUUCUCCUAGAUCGGCGUUUAGCGCACAGAACAUCCACUUGCUGCUGAAUCGAGAUUGCAAACAUUCAUCAGGUCAUCCGUUGCCGGUCGAUUAAAUAAACCAUCCAAAAGGACACCUGUGCAAUGAGUCUACGGCAUUUAAGCGUUACGGCGUUGUUGCAUUUGAU
Paramacrobiotus metropolitanus is the source of this 444-nucleotide long non-coding RNA. RefSeq lists it as uncharacterized. The record is from RefSeq and is a predicted model, not a curated record. The transcript has 4 exons. NCBI's taxonomy places the organism in Eukaryota, Metazoa, Tardigrada, Eutardigrada, Parachela, Macrobiotidae.